GCUCAGAUUGAACGCUGGCGGCAGGCCUAACACAUGCAAGUCGAACGGUAACAGGAAGAAGCUUGCUUCUUUGCUGACGAGUGGCGGACGGGUGAGUAAUGUCUGGGAAACUGCCUGAUGGAGGGGGAUAACUACUGGAGACGGUAGCUAAUACCGCAUAACGUCGCAAGACCAAAGAGGGGGACCUUCGGGCCUCUUGCCAUCGGAUGUGCCCAGAUGGGAUUAGCUAGUAGGUGGGGUAAAGGCUCACCUAGGCGACGAUCCCUAGCUGGUCUGAGAGGAUGACCAGCCACACUGGAACUGAGACACGGUCCAGACUCCUACGGGAGGCAGCAGUGGGGAAUAUUGCACAAUGGGCGCAAGCCUGAUGCAGCCAUGCCGCGUGUAUGAAGAAGGCCUUCGGGUUGUAAAGUACUUUCAGCGGGGAGGAAGGGAGUAAAGUUAAUACCUUUGCUCAUUGACGUUACCCGCAGAAGAAGCACCGGCUAACUCCGUGCCAGCAGCCGCGGUAAUACGGAGGGUGCAAGCGUUAAUCGGAAUUACUGGGCGUAAAGCGCACGCAGGCGGUUUGUUAAGUCAGAUGUGAAAUCCCCGGGCUCAACCUGGGAACUGCAUCUGAUACUGGCAAGCUUGAGUCUCGUAGAGGGGGGUAGAAUUCCAGGUGUAGCGGUGAAAUGCGUAGAGAUCUGGAGGAAUACCGGUGGCGAAGGCGGCCCCCUGGACGAAGACUGACGCUCAGGUGCGAAAGCGUGGGGAGCAAAACAGGAUUAGAUACCCUGGUAGUCCACGCCCGUAAACGAUGUCGACUUGGAGGUUGUGCCCUUGAGGCGUGGCUUCCGGAAGCUAACGCGUUAAGGUCGACGGCCUGGGGAGUACGACCGCAAGGUUAAAACUCAAAUGAAUUGACGGGGGCCCGCACAAGCGGUGGAGCAUGUGGUUUAAUUCGAUGCAACGCGAAGAACCUUACCUGGUCUUGACAUCCACAGAACUUUCCAGAGAUGGAUUGGUGCCUUCGGGAACUGUGAGACAGGUGCUGCAUGGCUGUCGUCAGCUCGUGUUGUGAAAUGUUGGGUUAAGUCCCGCAACGAGCGCAACCCUUAUCCUUUGUUGCCAGCGGUCCGGCCGGGAACUCAAAGGAGACUGCCAGUGAUAAACUGGAGGAAGGUGGGGAUGACGUCAAGUCAUCAUGGCCCUUACGACCAGGGCUACACACGUGCUACAAUGGCGCAUACAAAGAGAAGCGACCUCGCGAGAGCAAGCGGACCUCAUAAAGUGCGUCGUAGUCCGGAUUGGAGUCUGCAACUCGACUCCAUGAAGUCGGAAUCGCUAGUAAUCGUGGAUCAGAAUGCCACGGUGAAUACGUUCCCGGGCCUUGUACACACCGCCCGUCACACCAUGGGAGUGGGUUGCAAAAGAAGUAGGUAGCUUAACCUUCGGGAGGGCGCUUACCACUUUGUGAUUCAUG
RNAcentral lists this ribosomal RNA (1465 nucleotides) under uncultured organism. RNAcentral's name for it is "SSU rRNA". It matches the Rfam family "Bacterial small subunit ribosomal RNA". The record is from RNAcentral.